Oreochromis aureus is the source of this 2527-nucleotide long non-coding RNA. RefSeq lists it as uncharacterized. Lineage: Eukaryota; Metazoa; Chordata; Actinopteri; Cichliformes; Cichlidae. The transcript has 3 exons. The record is from RefSeq and is a predicted model, not a curated record.
AUCAACUUAAAGAAGUCCAGACGCUUUUCUUUGCAAACUCCUUUGACAUUUGAAUAUCUCUGUCAGCUCCUUUCAGCAAGAAUGCUUAGACAGGAUACUCAUCUCCGCCAAUCCAUACCUGUGAGCAAGCGCGUUGGAAUCGGGCUGUAUUGGCUGGCAACAGGCGCAUGUUAUCGGACCAUGUCAAACCUGUUCUGAGUUGCCAAAUCCAGUUUGUUCCAUCGUCCAUGAAUUUUGCUUUGCAGUCCGCUAUGUCCUCAUGCCUGAGUACAUUAAAUGGCCUCGAGGAGAUGACCUGAUACAAGUUAUUGAAGGCUUCAGACAGUGAUGGGGGUUCCCACAGUGUGCUGGAGCAAUAGAUGGGAGUCACAUUCCCAUCACUGCUCCUGAGGACAAUCACUGUGAUUAUUUUAACCGCAAAGGCUGGCACUCUGUCAUCCUUCAGGGCGUCGUCGACCAUCAAUUCUGUUUCACUAACAUCUACACUGGAUGGCCAGGAAGCGUUCACGAUGCCAGGGUUCUCAAGAAUUCUGAGAUAUACACAAUGGCAGAGAGAGGGAAGCUAUUUCCACCAGUUACAGAAGAAAUCAUGGGUGUUGAAGUUCCAGUCAUGCUGCUCGGUGACCCUGCAUAUCCCCUGCGAAGCUGGCUGCUGAAGGGAUACGCAGAUACAGGAACCCUAACUGAAGAACAACAAUACUUCAACCAGAGACACAGUAGAGCCAGGAUGACAGUGGAGUGUGCAUUUGGCCGACUUAAGGGUCAGUGGAGGUGCCUUGGGAAACGUCUUGAUGUGGACAUCCACACUGUUCCCACAAUAAUAGCUGCAUGCUGCACACUCCACAAUGUGUGUGAAAAACAUGGUGAAGCCUACAAUGAAACUGAUAACGCUGAUUUGCGUGAUUCUAGAGGUACCGAAGGAGGCAUCUUACCAGAUGUUCAGCCAAUAAGAAUAAGAGAGGUGCUGACCCAAUUUUUUCAUAGUCAACGUUAAGGCACAAAAGCCAUGGUUUCAUCUCAUUGUCAAUAAAUUUGAGCUUGAUGUUUAAGUGAUGCAUUCACAAAAUUUAAAGUAAAGCAUUCAAAGUUAUUUUUUUAUGGAAAAUAUUUAUUUUGACAUGUGUAACAUGUACACUUCUUCCUCUGUGUACUGAAAUUGCAAUGUUGUUUGUCUCAAAACAUAUAAGUUUGCAUAUGAAAAGCACAAAUUAAAUCUGAAAGACCCACUGUCCUUCAGCAGUACUGAAAAUCUCUAACAACAAAUAUAAAGCAUUUUUGGAUGCAACGAUAAAUAACCAACAUUUUGCAUUGAAAGUAAAGCCCCUCCAAAACAAUAUUAACAUAACAUUAACUGAAAUAUUUUUGGAGUAUCCAUUUAAAAUACAUUAAGUGAACCAUGUGUAAAACUUGCUUUUUAUAACAUUUAAACUAAUGCCUUAAAGUAGUUUAAUCCUGUUCAUCUGGAGGAGGGUAGGAUGACGUAAAGGCCUGGUUAAAGGAUGCAUGCUGAGCCUGAUCUCGAGGGUUUGGUCGUUCUGGUCUAAAGGGCUGACCCAGAUUGUGAGAUGGUGGAAGGGCAUUACCAAAAGGAAGAGGUUGAGCUAAAUCUUGUUGGAAAGACAGAGACUGAUUGGACAUCUCAAAUGGUGGAGACUGAGUUGAAGCCAUGGGGUAUGGAGUGGAAUGGAUGAGUGAAGACUGUGUUGGGCAGUAAAGAUGUGGAACCUGUACUGCCUGCUGGUAGAAAGGUGGUUGUUGGCGUGUGAUGAGCUGGGUCAACAUGGAGAGCACUUUAAGAUCGUGCUCAUGCUGAGCUGCUUGCAUCUUCAACAGAAGCUCCGACUCAUCAUUCUUCAAGGCGCUUGUAAUCUUGUCCGCAAAUAUUUCCAAAGUUGACUCCAUCUUUGACUUUCUCUUCCUGCUCUUGGCAGAUGUAUCUGUAAAGAGAAUAAUUGUUUGUGUUACUUCAACCAAAGGAUAAUUUUUAUGUUUGAAGGAUAGAGGGAAUUUCCAUAUGUAGUGCUGGUACGCACCUUGGAGAAAUUAGAACAUCACUGUAACAGUACAGGUCAGAAAUUAAGACUGUGGGGUAUUUGAUCAUUUGAGUCAAAUCAUGGUUUUUAUUUAAAAAACAUUGUACAAUCUACAGUAUGUCUUACAUUACAAUCUCGCCCCUCUGAGUAGUAUUAAUUAAAAGAUAUGUGUGCUUUAUCCAUGCUUAGGCAUCUAGAGUAAAAUUUAACUCCAUUAGUUUGCCUUGUGAGGUCUCAACAUGACACUUUACUUUGAAAAAACGUUUUUAUUCUAAUGGGAUGAUGAAAAGUUUGCAACAACAAUGUUCUAUUUAAUAUAUGGGUUACUUACUUCGGGUUUGUGCAUUCUUCUUUAUGGAAUUAUCUGCAUUCACUGCAGAUGAAGAACUUUCGUCUGAUGCAGAAUCAAAUGUCAGUGACACAGGAGUAUCCUCACCCAGUGUACAGGCGCCUUUCGAAAAUACAAUCAUACAACCUAUUAAAAAGUUAUGUAC